This 217-nucleotide small RNA is filed under the name Citrobacter rodentium ICC168. It matches the Rfam family "rncO". From Rfam's summary of the family: This family represents a bacterial regulatory element (rncO) found in the rnc leader sequence. The rnc operon is negatively auto-regulated by transcript stability. rnc, the first gene in the operon codes for RNase III which cleaves the long rncO stem II leading to transcript degradation and a reduction in translation. The record is from RNAcentral. Lineage: Bacteria; Pseudomonadati; Pseudomonadota; Gammaproteobacteria; Enterobacterales; Enterobacteriaceae.
GAAGUUUAAGGCUGGCGGCUGUUGGUCGCCACGGCACACGAAACAGCGUUGGUUCCCCUAUGUAAACGUAUUGCAGCCGGUGUAACACGGCUGGCGGAAUACGCUGUAUAUCAGGUCUGUUUCGUGUGCUGAAUUGUUGACGCAUUUAUUUAUUGGUAUCGCAUGAACCCCAUCGUAAUUAAUCGGCUUCAACGGAAGCUGGGCUACACUUUUACUC